GAGGAUGUAGCUCAGUGGUAGAGCACGUGCUCAGCAUGCACGAGGUCCUGGGUUUCAUCCCCAGUACCUCCA
This 72-nucleotide transfer RNA is filed under the name Camelus bactrianus (Bactrian camel). It matches the Rfam family "tRNA". From Rfam's summary of the family: Transfer RNA (tRNA) molecules are approximately 80 nucleotides in length. The record is from Rfam by way of RNAcentral. Lineage: Eukaryota; Metazoa; Chordata; Mammalia; Artiodactyla; Camelidae. RNAcentral also lists the same sequence under 2 other names.